RNAcentral lists this long non-coding RNA (1149 nucleotides) under Vombatus ursinus (common wombat). RNAcentral describes it as "lncRNA (ENSVURG00010004451.1)". Lineage: Eukaryota; Metazoa; Chordata; Mammalia; Diprotodontia; Vombatidae. The record is from RNAcentral.
GGGAGUUGAGUAGUUUUGCAGACCACUGUAAGUCUCUCUUUAUAAAACCUUUAAAGAUUGCCUCGUGAUAUAAUGGAAAGGAAGACUUCCCAGCCCUGUGACCUUAGACAAGUCAUUCGCCUCUCUGACUCCCUACUUUCCUCUUCUGGAAAAUGGUGCUUUAGAUAGGCGUCCCCGACUCCUCACCUCCUGUCUCUAGCUGCCUGCCCAUCAAGGCUUCCGAGCCCUCUGGUUGACCAGGUGCCUCUGUGGUUCAGAGCUCUGGGAGCCUGGGCCACUCCUGACCCCUCCAGGAGAGUGGCCAGCCGUCUUGUGGCGGCCGCUUUCCAGACCUCUUUUCAUGUCCCUUGCUUCUAAGGUGUGAAUGGAAAGGCCAGCUGGAUCGAGGAUGCGUCAGAGGAAUCACCUUGGAGAGAGAGCCAGGCUCCGGUUGAGGCUCAGGGCAGGCACUCGCUUCCCGCCCCGCUCCCCAGCAGGGGGUCGGCCGUCCGGGAAUGGCAAACGGCAAAAUUGAAACUUGGCAAGUCUCUUAUCAGUCCAGGUGCAUUUGGCUGCUACUGGGACGUUAGAUCUGAAGCUAGGAAAACACUUCACCCGCCCCGCCCGGCCCCCGUCCUGCCCGUCGUCCUCUAAUUCAGAUGCUUUCCUGCUCCAAAGAGCGAACCAGCUCCGCCUGGUUUGUUUGCGGGAGCUCCCGCUGCCUUCUGGAGUGAGCGCGUGUUUUCCAAAACACCCUGGAAUUUACCUUGGCAAAACAGGCGCACCAUGUGGGAUCUAUUCCUUUGUGGAUAUUCAACGAGUUUAACCACUUUGUAUCCCUCAUGUUAUAGAGAAUCAAUGAUAAUACAGUUUUUCUGGUCACAUCCCAACUGAAAUACUUCUUGGUAGAAUUCAGAUCUUUCUUUUUCACGUGCACCUGCUUUUAUCCAUUCAGGUUUCUCUAGGUGUGAAUUCAGAUUGAGCAAAAAGUCUCCUCUGAGACUGCCCAGGGCUUGGGAAGUGCAAAAAAGGGAAAAAGAGGUAAGAAAGAAGUAAAUUUGAACCCAAAGAAUGUUUUUCAGAUUCACAUAAAGAGCCAAUCUCUAGUUUAUAAGUAUCAGAGCAUCAAGCAAAUUUAAGAAGAAAUCCCAAGUAGAUUCCCCGCCACCU